CACGUUGUUGCCUUAAUGAUUUGAUAUUCUCAAAUGCUUUGUCCCUCUUCUCUGUCACAGCUGUCAGAUCAUCCUGUAAAGACUUGAUUUCAGCUUCUAAUCCCUUCACUUUUUCCCUGAGUUGGGUAAUUUUUCCCCUAACUGCCUGCUGCUCUUUUUUAACUCCAUCCAAAUCCACGCCCAUAAGUUUGACCUGGUCUUGAAUAGCUUCUUUCUGGCCCAAUGAAUCCUGAAUCUUUGCUCUCAUAGCAGCAUUAGCAAUUACUUUUUCCCUUGUCCCCUCGAGCUGUUUGAUUUCUCUAAGUAUUUGCUUCUCCUCUGUUAAUGGGAUGCUCUCAUGCUGUAUGCGAUAUUGCAAGCUGUAUAUAAGAUCAUUAAGUUCUUCCUCAGAUGAACAUAGACCACCACGACCUGCAUUGUUUGUGUUCCGCAGCUUACCCAGUGCCUGCUGCAGAGGUUCUAUUUC
Molecule: unclassified non-coding RNA, 466 nt
Filed under: Hevea brasiliensis (rubber tree)
Lineage: Eukaryota; Viridiplantae; Streptophyta; Magnoliopsida; Malpighiales; Euphorbiaceae
Source: RNAcentral